CAGCAGCCGCGGGAAUACGAAGGGGGCUAGCGUUGUUCGGAAUUACUGGGCGUAAAGGGCGCGUAGGCGGCCAUUCAAGUUAGAAGUGAAAGCCCUGGGCUCAACCUAGGAAUUGCUUUUGAUACUGUUUGGCUUGAGUUCGGGAGAGGUGAGUGGAAUUCCCAGUGUAGAGGUGAAAUUCGUAGAUAUUGGGAAGAACACCAGUGGCGGAGGCGGCUCACUGGACCGACACUGACGCUGAGGCGCGAAAGCGUGGGGAGCAAACAGGAUUAGAUACCCCCGUAGUCCCUGUCUCUUAUAC
RNAcentral lists this ribosomal RNA (301 nucleotides) under uncultured bacterium. Its description in RNAcentral is "partial 16S ribosomal RNA". It matches the Rfam family "Bacterial small subunit ribosomal RNA", at positions 509 to 807 of the family's 1533-position model. The record is from RNAcentral.